CUGGUCGACACCGGAAGUGAUGUUUGC
RNAcentral lists this small RNA (27 nucleotides) under Bombyx mori (domestic silkworm). Its description in RNAcentral is "ovarian small RNA-14958". Lineage: Eukaryota; Metazoa; Arthropoda; Insecta; Lepidoptera; Bombycidae. The record is from RNAcentral.